RNAcentral lists this ribosomal RNA (253 nucleotides) under uncultured bacterium. RNAcentral describes it as "partial 16S ribosomal RNA". It matches the Rfam family "Bacterial small subunit ribosomal RNA", at positions 524 to 776 of the family's 1533-position model. The record is from RNAcentral.
UACGGGGGGUGCGAGCGUUGUCCGGAAUCACUGGGCGUAAAGGGCGCGUAGGCGGCCUGGUAAGCGUGCGGUGAAAGCCCGGGGCUCAACCCCGGGUCGGCCGUGCGAACUGCGAGGCUGGAGCACUGUAGAGGCAGGUGGAAUUCCGGGUGUAGCGGUGGAAUGCGUAGAGAUCCGGAAGAACACCGGUGGCGAAGGCGGCCUGCUGGGCAGUGGCUGACGCUGAGGCGCGACAGCGUGGGGAGCAAACAGG